GAUGAACGCUGACAGAAUGCUUAACACAUGCAAGUCCACUUGAACUUCGGUUUGGGUGGCGGACGGGUGAGUAACGCGUAAAGAACUUGCCUCACAGAUAGGGACAACAUUUGGAAACGAAUGCUAAUACCUGAUAUUAUGAUUUUAGGGCAUCCUAGGAUUAUGAAAGCUAUAUGCGCUGUGAGAGAGCUUUGCGUCCCAUUAGCUAGUUGGAGAGGUAACGGCUCACCAAGGCGAUGAUGGGUAGCCGGCCUGAGAGGGUGAUCGGCCACAAGGGGACGGAGACACGGCCCUACCUCCAGGGGGAGGCAGCGGUGGGGAUAGUAGAAAAAGGGACAAAGGGUUUAAUCAAGAAUUCCGGGGGGCAGAAAGAAGUUUUGGGAAAGGAAAGGUGUUUUAAGUGGAAAAAAAAAAAAUGACGGUACAAAAAGAAGAAGGGCGGGCAAAUUACGUC
RNAcentral lists this ribosomal RNA (454 nucleotides) under uncultured bacterium. RNAcentral describes it as "partial 16S ribosomal RNA". It matches the Rfam family "Bacterial small subunit ribosomal RNA", at positions 28 to 507 of the family's 1533-position model. The record is from RNAcentral.